GAUGAAGAACGUAGCGAAAUGCGAUAAGUAAUGCGAAUUGCAGAAUUCAGUGAAUCAUCGAAUCUUUGAACGCACAUUGCGCCCGCCAGUAUUCUGGCGGGCAUGCCUGUUCGAGCGUCAUUUCAACCAUCAAGCCCUGCUUGCGUUGGGGUCCUGCGGCUGCCCGCAGGCCCUGAAAACCAGUGGCGGGCUCGCUAGUCACACCGAGCGCAGUAAUACAUCUCGCUUUGGGCGUGCGGCGGGUUCUUGCCGUUAAACACCCCCUUUUUACCAAGGUUGACCUCGGAUCAGGUAGGAAUACCCGCUGAACUUAAGCAUAUCAAUAAGCGGAGGA
RNAcentral lists this unclassified non-coding RNA (334 nucleotides) under soil metagenome. RNAcentral describes it as "partial contains 5.8S ribosomal RNA, internal transcribed spacer 2, and large subunit ribosomal RNA". The stretch from base 1 to 120 matches the Rfam family "5.8S ribosomal RNA", at positions 35 to 154 of the family's 154-position model. The record is from RNAcentral.